AUCACUUCUCGGCCUUAUGGCUAAGAUCAAGUGUAGUGUCUGUUCUUACCAGCUUUAUAUCUGAUAUGUCCUCUAUUUGCGGACUGCAUAUUAAGCAGGUUUUUGGAAUUUGGAGAUGGAAUAGGGGUUUGUUCCAUCUACUCCAUGCAUCGAUCUGGUAUUGCAGUAUUUCCAGAAAUGGUGCACAAAAU
Molecule: small nuclear RNA, 191 nt
Organism: Heteronotia binoei (common prickly gecko)
Lineage: Eukaryota; Metazoa; Chordata; Lepidosauria; Squamata; Gekkonidae
Product: U2 spliceosomal RNA
Exons: 1
Source: RefSeq, a predicted model, not a curated record